CGGCGCAUAAGCGCCGACGCGCAGUCGCGCUUGCCUCAGCCCGUAUCCGGGCUUCGGGGGAGCGCAUAAGGCACGCAUAAGGCAAGGGUNCGGAGCACCCGCCCGCCGUCUGAGGGAAAAUAUAAGGGCUCACCUUCGGUGAGCCCGUGACCGCGUACCUUUUGUAUAAUGGGUCAGCGACUUAAUUUACGUAGCGAGCUUAAGCCGAUAGGUGUAGGCGCAGCGAAAGCGAGUCUGAAUAGGGCGUUUCAGUUACGUGGAUUAGACCCGAAACCGGGUGAUCUAGCCAUGGGCAGGUUGAAGGCAGGGUAAGACCUGCUGGAGGACCGAACCCACCUAUGUUGAAAAAUGGGGGGAUGACCUGUGGCUAGGGGUGAAAGGCCAAUCAAACCCGGAAAUAGCUGGUUCUCCGCGAAAACUAUUUAGGUAGUGCGUUAUGUGUUUACCGUCGGGGGUAGAGCACUGGAUGGGCUAGGGGGGCGCGAGCCUUACCAAACCUAACCAAACUCCGAAUACCGGCGAGUAUUGCAUGGCAGACAGACGGCGGGCGCUAAGGUCCGUCGUCGAGAGGGAAACAGCCCUGACCGCCAGCUAAGGUCCCUAAGUUGUGGCUAAGUGGGAAAGGAUGUGGGAAGGCCAAGACAGCCAGGAGGUUGGCUUAGAAGCAGCCAUCCUUGAAAGAAAGCGUAACAGCUCACUGGUCUAGAUAUUAAGCCGUCCCGCGCCGAAGAUGUAACGGGGCUCAAGCCACACACCGAAGCUGCGGACUUCAGUUUACUGAAGUGGUAGCGGAGCGUUCUGUAAGCCUGCGAAGGUGUGCCGUGAGGCAUGCUGGAGGUAUCAGAAGUGAGAAUGCUGACAUGAGUAGCGACAAGGAGUGUGAGAAACACUCCCGCCGAAAAUCCAAGGGUUCCUGUGCAAGGCUAAUCCGCGCAGGGUGAGUCGGCCCCUAAGGCGAGGGCGAAAGCCGUAGUCGAUGGGAAUCAGGUUAAUAUUCCUGAACCUGUAGGUAGUGACGGAUACUGUAAGUUGUACACACUCUAUUGGACAUGUGUGUGUGCCGCGAAGGUGUCCCAGGAAAUAACUCCUACAUUAAGACCGUACCCCAAACCGACACAGGUGGAUAGGUAGAGAAUACCAAGGCGCUUGAGAGAACGAUGUUGAAGGAACUCGGCAAAAUGCACCCGUAACUUCGGGAUAAGGGUGACCUGUAUCUAGGCAACUGGAUAUGGGUGGCACAAAAUUGGGGGUGGCGACUGUUUACUAAAAACAUAGGGCUCUGCGAAGUCGCAAGACGACGUAUAGGGUCUGACGCCUGCCCGGUGCUGGAAGGUUAAGGAGAGGGGUGCAAGCUCUGAACCGAAGCCCCAGUAAACGGCGGCCGUAACUAUAACGGUCCUAAGGUAGCGAAAUUCCUUGUCGGGUAAGUUCCGACCUGCACGAAUGGCGUAACGACUUCCCCGCUGUCUCCAACAUCGACUCAGCGAAAUUGAAUUCUCCGUGAAGAUGCGGAGUACCCGCGGUUAGACGGAAAGACCCGGUGCACCUUUACUAUAGCUUUGCAGUGGUAUUAGGGGACGAAUGUGUAGGAUAGGUGGGAGGCUGUGAAACCGUGGCGCCAGUUGCGGUGGAGCCACCCUUGAAAUACCACCCUUUUCUUCUCUGAUAUCUAACCGUGGCCCGUUAAUCCGGGUCCGGGACCCUGCAUGGUGGGUAGUUUGGCUGGGGCGGUCGCCUCCCAAAGAGUAACGGAGGCGCGCGAUGGUGGGCUCAAGCUGGUCGGAAAUCAGCUGCUGAGUGUAAUGGCACAAGCCUGCCUGACUGCGAGAGCGACAGCUCGAGCAGAGACGAAAGUCGGCCAUAGUGAUCCGGUGGUUCCGUGUGGAAGGGCCAUCGCUCAACGGAUAAAAGGUACGCCGGGGAUAACAGGCUUAUACCCCCCAAGAGUUCACAUCGACGGGGGUGUUUGGCACCUCGAUGUCGGCUCAUCACAUCCUGGGGCUGGAGCAGGUCCCAAGGGUUCGGCUGUUCGCCGAUUAAAGUGGUACGUGAGCUGGGUUUAGAACGUCGUGAGACAGUUCGGUCCCUAUCUGCCGUGGGUGUAGGAGAAUUGAGAGGAGCUGCCCCUAGUACGAGAGGACCGGGGUGGACGCACCUCUGGUGUACCAGUUGUCGCGCCAGCGGCACCGCUGGGUAGCUAAGUGCGGACGGGAUAACCGCUGAAAGCAUCUAAGCGGGAAGCCUCCCUCGAAACGAGUUCUCCCUUGAGAGCCGUGGGAGACCACCACGUUGAUAGGCCGGGUGUGGAAGCGCAGCAAUGCGUGGAGCUAACCGGUACUAAUCGCUCGAUAGGCUUGAGAUG
This 2362-nucleotide ribosomal RNA is filed under the name marine metagenome. Its description in RNAcentral is "bacterial LSU rRNA". It matches the Rfam family "Bacterial large subunit ribosomal RNA". The record is from RNAcentral.